AGCAGUAGCCGCGGGAAUACAGAGGGUGCGAGCGUUAAUCGGAUUUACUGGGCGUAAAGCGUGCGUAGGCGGCUUCUUAAGUCGGAUGUGAAAUCCCUGAGCUUAACUUAGGAAUUGCAUUCGAUACUGGGAAGCUAGAGUAUGGGAGAGGAUGGUAGAAUUCCAGGUGUAGCGGUGAAAUGCGUAGAGAUCUGGAGGAAUACCGAUGGCGAAGGCAGCCAUCUGGCCUAAUACUGACGCUGAGGUACGAAAGCAUGGGGAGCAAACAGGAUUAGAUACCCCCGUAGUCCCUGUCUCUUAUAU
This 303-nucleotide ribosomal RNA is filed under the name uncultured bacterium. RNAcentral's name for it is "partial 16S ribosomal RNA". It matches the Rfam family "Bacterial small subunit ribosomal RNA", at positions 507 to 809 of the family's 1533-position model. The record is from RNAcentral.